Cinara cedri is the source of this 441-nucleotide non-coding RNA. NCBI's taxonomy places the organism in Eukaryota, Metazoa, Arthropoda, Insecta, Hemiptera, Aphididae. The record is from the annotation of a GenBank genome assembly.
CAUAUUAUAUUAAAAUCGAAAUUUAUUUUAUACGUAUCCGACGCAAUAUUCGAGAUUUGUUCCAUAUAUUUGCAAACAAAAAAAAAUGUAUUUUAAAUUUCAUUGAACCAGUUAGAGAUUUGAAAUGCAAAAAUAACCACAUCGUGAAAUCGGGGUUACGAUAAUGUUGUUAUACGCUUACACGUGUUAACUUUUUAUUUUCGGAGCGUAGCGAGUGAUCUGUUGGUAUUACUAAGAUGUGUGUUUUUUUUUUGCCUGUAAAUAACUUUUCAUUCAGAAAUCUUUCUCCGAUGUAUAGAGUGUAUCGUAUCUUUUUCUGAAAGGUAAUUUUGUCUUAUUGGUUUAUUAAAGAAGUCAUUUUUCGAUUUUCCAAGGCAUUUUCAUAAUAAUUGGAAAUAACCGGAAAAAAGCGGAAAAAUGUAAAAAUGUAUUAUUUUCAAU